UACGUAGGGGGCAAGCGUUGUCCGGAUUUAUUGGGCGUAAAGAGCGUGUAGGCGGCUUGGUAGGUCCGCUGUGAAAACUCGAGGCUCAACCUCGAGAUGUCGGCGGAAACCGCUUGGCUAGAGUCCGGAAGAGGAGAGUGGAAUUCCUGGUGUAGCGGUGAAAUGCGCAGAUAUCAGGAAGAACACCCGUGGCUAAGGCGGCUCUCUAGUACGGUACUGACGCUGAGACGCGAAAGCGUGGGGAGCGAACAGG
This 253-nucleotide ribosomal RNA is filed under the name uncultured bacterium. RNAcentral's name for it is "partial 16S ribosomal RNA". It matches the Rfam family "Bacterial small subunit ribosomal RNA", at positions 524 to 776 of the family's 1533-position model. The record is from RNAcentral.